Vombatus ursinus (common wombat) is the source of this 329-nucleotide long non-coding RNA. RefSeq lists it as uncharacterized. The transcript has 3 exons. NCBI's taxonomy places the organism in Eukaryota, Metazoa, Chordata, Mammalia, Diprotodontia, Vombatidae. The record is from RefSeq and is a predicted model, not a curated record.
CUCCAUUGGUGUAUCCCAUGAACAUCUCAAACUUAUCAUGACCAAAACUGAGCUCCUCAUCUCGCCUGGCCCCCUGGGGAAGACUCCAAACUAAGACUAACUCAAUAAUUGAAUCCUGGCUUACUUCAAGGUUCAAUUUAGGAGUGACCUGCAAGAAUCCAAGAAUCCUCUGUCUACAUAGAUACAGAGAAACCUCAACAAAAAUAUGAUAAAAGCAGCUCUUAGUUUAAUUGGAAACUCGCCUGAGCAAAAACCUUUCUUAUCUUGGCUUGAUCAGCCUGGAUCUUAAAAAAGGGUUUUCCAGUCUCUGGCCACUUAUGUUGAUGUGA